CUGAUCAAAGGCAGGCAGAUCUGUUAGAUCUGUUAGAUGCUCAAACGACAAAUGGUGCUAUCAUACCCCACAAGCGUCUCAGCUGAUGGAGAAGAGAGCAGUUAAGUGGUCAGUGGGGCUCCAGGUUGUCGUUUCUGGAUCCCACCACAGCCCUUCCAAGUUGCCCAAGAAAUCAAUGUCACAAGAGUUUUUUCCUCGCAGCUCUUCCCCAUGAUCCCACGUGGGGCCUUCUCAGACAUAUGCUGUGUCUGAACCAGCAGAUCCCACCAAACCAAGUAAUUGAGGACCCAGUCAGAAAAGGAGUGUGCGCAGUCCUACCAGAAAUAAACACAGCUAAACAGGUACUAGAAGUCACCCCAGAAUUGGCCCUACUCAACAUCUUCCAGGAUAACAGUGCCCACUCACACUAUCAAGAGCUCAUAACCCACCGACAGCAUACAAUUCAAUAUGGCUAACUUAACCCGACAACCCCCCUCAGCCACGCACAAAUCCCGCUGUAGCCAGCCAAAGAUGAUCAACCACACCCUAGGUCACCCUAACCUCUUUCACCAUCAAGGAAACAACAAGUGAAUAGAAAGAGAACUUCCCCAAGUGACACUGACAGAAAAACCCCAUGCAUACACUAAAUAAAAGAACUUAAGCUUUGCCACCCCAGUCCCUCUGUCCCAUCCCCCGACCCCCUUCCAGGGCUGGGUUUAGAUGAAGACAGACCCUAGGCUACUCCACUUGGCAUCAGGUGCACUUCUGUCAUUUCUUUGCUGUUCCCUCACUCUUUGUCUCCUUGUUUUGUAGUAAACAUUUGGCAAGGUGGCUUUUGCUUGUUUCUCAUGCUCAUCAAAAUCUUCUCUUUAAAAAAUCCAGAGGUGAACUGUACAAACUUGCACAAGAACUCAAUAACAGGUCUUAUUUCUGAAGGGCUUUGCUGACCUUGUGAAAAUGACCUAGCACACUUAUACCUCUAAGAUUCUGAUUUUGGCUGUGAACUAGCCCCCCCCCCCAAAACAAAAAUUGAAGUUGGGCCCUAGAGUUUCAAAUUGGUCCCCACUGGCUGGCCCUGAGUCUCAUAGUUGCUGGGCCUGAGUUGCCCUGCCCUCACAUGAAGUCUUGGGUUUGCAAUUUUGGGAGAGGGGAGACUGUCUGCUGGGGGCAAGUGGGCUGGGGAGGCCCCCUAGAUUUAGAGGCCCUAGGCUUCAGCCUACUUAGCCUAUACAUAAAUCCGGCACUGGUCAUGCAGUUUGACAUUCUCGUCUAUGUGUCUCUAUUAGUGCCUGACACUUCGUUUUAAUCCCUGUACUCCUUAGCAAUCAUUGGCUCUUAAGCAGGGUCCAGUGUAGCACAGAUGUUUAUUUCCAUAUUUCUCUCACACACUGAUUUCACAGCAUAUAGCUUGGCAGUAAUUUCUUUCUGUUACUGUGUAAUGCUGUUACCCUCUCUUCAUGAGUGAUUAUAGUGUAACAUCCGAGUGCUACUGAACUGACCAGAAGCCGCUGCACUUGUCACCAGCCUCUUCUGAGGUCUAGGUCAGCUGUUUUGUGCAGCCUUUUGAGUUAGCCGCAUGGAACGUACAACAGCUGUUUGUCAAUCACUGCUGAGGAUUAUACUUACAAAAGGAGGUGUUAGGAGAAGGGUGGGGGAACCAUUGAUUUUCCAGUUACUAUUCCAGUUCUGAAAAUAUAAUCCAGGGCAUAGGACUCUCACAGAAAAUGGAGCCCUCUAAAGAACAGUGACAGUUUCACCCAUGUGCAUUUCAUUACAAAUUAUCGUACGUUUAUGUGGAAAAUCAAUUCCCAGGGGGGCAGUGGUGGGCGGGAGGGAAGCCUGGUGGGCUGCUUGGUUGUGCAAUGUAAGCAACAUAUGUUGGGGGCAGGCAAUUGGCCAGGAGGCUUAUGCUUCAGCGGUGCUUGCAUAACCGGCAGCUGAAACAAUUAAAACUGUUUAUUUUUACUACAUUUAUAUAUCGCCUUUCUGCCAAACCACACAAGAUGGUUUAUUUUAUUAUUUUAUCAUAACUGCUUGCAGUCUAAAUGGCAUGACAUAAGGGAGGCAAGACGAAAAUAAGCAAACUGGGGCAUCAGCUCUUUAUCCUGUUACAUAAUGACCAGCUAAAAUGGCCACUGCUGGAUAGAAUUGUGUUGGGUUACUACAAUACUUUCCAUGUGGGAUUGAUCCAGUGUUUGCAGCUAGCUUGCUUCUGGGGUAAACUAUCAACAGCAUAUAACCCCUUGUUUGCAGGAUCCGCACUGACUCCUAAAACGCUUCUGGGCCACGUUCAAAGUUUUGGUACUCAUGUUUAAGACAAGUAGGAACCAGUUUGCAUAAGAGACUGCCUUGCCUCUUACAUACCCAGUAACUCACUGUAUUCUGCAGAAGAAUCUCUUCUUGAAGUUCCUAAACUAUCAGAAGCCCCUCUGCAACAAUUUGGAGCAGGACCUUCAAUGUAGCUGCCUCUGUUUUGUGGAAAGCAUCCCUGUUGAGAUGUGACAGGCACCCAUUCUCAUUUUGAGAAGUUUUUCCAGCUGAAUGAAAAAGCUUUAAAUUUCUGCUUUGGGUAUUUAUCUGUAUUGUUUAACAUUUAUCUCUAGGCAUUUUGUUAUAUGGUUGUGAAUCACCUUGAAAUCAAGAUGAAAGGAGGUUAAUUAAUAACAACUUUUGACCCACCAAACAAUGCAACCCAUAAGCCAUGCAUUGUGCCACACAUAUUUUUUGUUACCUGAGUUAGAUGACAAGAAAAGUGAAUCAAUUCCCAGCAUUGUGUGACUGAUGGGUGCCUUCAGCUUGAGAGUUACAUCUUGUUUACAUCUGCUGCUUAGCAAGCAACUUCUCAAUUGAUCUAGAAAAGGGUUGGAGAAGCUUCUUCGGUCUGAGGGCCACAUUCCCUCAGGUACAAUCUCUGAGGGGACUCGUGCAAGUGAUGAGCAGAACCAGUCACAAAGGUAGGAGGAGCAAUAGAAGUGACUUUUACCUUUGUUCAAUAGUCUACAUUCCUGCCACGCAAAAAUCAGAGGAGUCUACACAUCCUCCACACACAUCUCUCCAUCCAGGUAAGCAAAAAGUAUAAUCACAGUUAUUAAACAUUAAAAUUAAAUUAUACCCAAAUGGUUUUCUUUUUAUUAAAUCCUAUUAAAUCUGAUUUUUUUAGUCUGGAAAAGAAGAGGGGUGAACCAAGAGAUGUUUACCUUAUCUGCUACUCUUUGAGAUCGUUAUUUUUCUUGCUAAACAUCUCUUUGUGUGCUUUUUUAAUAGCCCAGUGGAUCGAAAACUUAGUAAGUAAGUUUGAUCAUAGCAGAAAUGCUUGCGCUUCAGUAUGACUGAUGUGAAUGUGCUACUCAGUUCCUAGUUAGAAAUAUAGGGAACGUUUGCGCUUUUAAAUUUUUUUGCUAAAGAACUGAUGUGUCACUGGCGCAAUUUAGUUUUGCUUUCAAGUAAUGUAAAUGUAGUUCACCAAAAGAUUUAUCACCCUGAGUUAACGAUCUUGAUAAAAUCUUGCUUCUCUUAUCUUUUACACUACUGUUUUGGGAAGAGGCCAUUGCUCAGUGGUGGAGCUCACACUUCGUUUGCAGAAGGACCCAGGUUCAACGCUUGGAGCUUCCAAUUAAAAAGGAAUUUAGACAAGUUUAGUAGGGCAAAUGGUAGGGGCCCAUGUGCCCCAGAGGACUGAGGGUGUUUGCCAGCAUCCCUUUCUCCUUUUCCUUAUCAGGACGGUGCAUUGGCAACAAUUCACACUGUGCAGCGAAGAAAGGGUAUAGGUGAGGCUGUAGCCACCCGCUAAUCUUCAUUUCAUCAGAAUGCCUCUGGGCUCUACCCUAGCAAAAAUGUUCAAAAGAAAAGAAAAAAGAAUGGUCUUCCAUUCCUGCCACAACUGGCGUGUGCUCACCCCCGACAUGAAUUUGACCUUUGAGCAUUCCAUUCAAAUCGUCAGAACUCUUCAGCUAAGGGCUGACUGUUCAAAACAAAUCAUGAAAGGCCCAGUUGUUUCCUUGGCCUGCUAACUCAUUGCUGAGGGAGAAAACCACCUCAGGGGUGGUUCUCCAGGCUACUCGCAAAGCGAAUAUGCUUUGCUGGAGACCUCCAUCACCUUUUAUGUAAUCCCUGAGUUCUUUGUUCCAUGAGGGAUGGUGUAACAGGAGGGGAAUGGGGUGAGACUGAGCAGAAAUGAAAUGGGUGCAACCUGCUCAGUUCUCCGUGGAAGAAUUUAACAGCUGGAGCAGACCAUUUCUGGUGCUACGGUGCUCAUCAGGUAUUGUUUCCUAGAUUUUCUGCCAUUCCCCAUACGCCAUUCCCCAUAUUCCCAAACGUCUGCUGAUAUAAGGCAGCUCUCCAUAUCCCUAUGCCAUGGGUCUUGUGAGGGAUGGAUGCCGACCAACCAACCAAGUGUCUUGCUAUAUAUGUGAUCUAUAUUCCCUUCUUGAGAGCACAAAUUGAACAGAUACUCAUUAUGGUAUGCCAUGGUCAACUGUGAGAAUCUUAGCACCCUAAGAAGCUUAUCCUGAGUCAGAUUGCUGGCCCAUUCACUGAGCAUUGUCUGCAAAGGCUAGCAGAGGAUCUCCAGGAUUUCAGACAUGUAUUUUUCUCAGUUCUUCUCAGAGAUACCAAGGAUCGAAAGCAUUAGUACAACUCCUGAGCCUUGGGGUACAUCCUAGGGAUACAUCCUAUGCAUAGUCUUAGCUGUGGGGUGGGGAGAAAAGGGGUCGUGGUUUGCAUUUUUCCAUUGACUUCAGUGGGAGUAUGUAAUUUACUUUACCUCUUCCACUGCCUUCUUAGAGGGUGGAGAGAAGCCACAAGCAGCAGGGAGUUCCUCCUUUGUUCAUCCCCUGCUGUUCUCCUGCUCCACCCAUUCUUCCCCUGCUUAUGCUGACAGUAUCCUGCCAGAAGAAAGGCUGCUUUGGUGGUAGACUUUGCUGGCAUAAGAGUAUCUCUGUGCCCGCAUAGAGUCUAGUCUAUUAUUCCUAUCCCCACAUAGUGGUACCCCCUUAGGGGUAGGAUUGCACUGUGAAUCAUCUUUUCAAAACUUCUGGCCCAGUUUCAGCAACCAUUUCUGAUUUAAGGAAUAUGUGUAAAAACCCGUAUCCUUGCGUGGAAAACGGCCCCUGGCAAAAGUUGUAAUACUCCCAUUAUGAGCCAGGAUUAUUUAUUUAUAUUAUUUCUUUCAUAAGUGCAUUUUUUUUUUUUUUUUGGUGUGUUAAAUUUACAGCAACUCUUACUCACCCUUCGAACAUCCUUAAUCCUUUCAGAAGUAUUCAGUUGGCCACCGUGCUUCUCAUCUUCUUUGGAAGUGAGAGAGAGAGAGGAAAGGAAUGUACUUGAUCUGCCAAAAAGAAAAGAGGAAAAAAAUCACGGAAGAGGUCCCUUGUCUGCACCUUAGCCUGCGAAGUGAAUGGAGUCAGCUCACUUUAAUACUGCAGACCCAACAAGAUCUCCCAGCAUCCCUCGGAAGAAAUUGACAUGGGCAAAACGUGAAACAAUUUGAAAAGCUGGAUGGCUUUCAAAAAGAUGCUCAGGCAAGUCUUGUUGUGGGGCUGAUGUUCAAGCAAAGGGAACAAGUCUAGUGACAGACUGUCUGCCCAGCUCAUAAAUCUGCAGACAAAUUUAAGUUUUCACCUGGAGCUACAUUUACAAGUAUGUCAAUGAAAUUAAAAUCAAAGCCCCUUGCCUGGCCUGCGGGAAAGGAAAUGCAUCAUGAGAAGAGAAUGCUUUCCAGCACUCGCGGAUCCUUCUAAGUUUCUGAAAUCCUCCAAGUUAGCACUGUAGCAACAAGAAUCCCAGAGUGGAAUGUGUUGAACACGCUCAUGAUUAAUGUGGCAGUUCUUCAGGAAGGAUGUAAAGGUCAGGUUGAGGAGGACUCUGGUUAUUUAUGAGGCAGAAAUCUUUUAGGUAUUUCCAAGGGUGUUAUUCAAGUCAGCAUUAUUCUGUGACUGAACUUGGAUUUGACAUUUCUGGGUUUCAAAGACAGUUGAGGAGAAAUGCCUAGCAGGUUGUGUGUGUGGCGGCAGUUGAAAGGGGAAACAGAAUGAAGAUUAACCUUCUAAUCGUUGUUGCAAACAUGUCACAAACUUUGUCUCCCAAACUGGGAAUCUUUUAAAGAUAUUGUAGCUCGCUCCUUCCAACCACCAUCAUAUGUUGUUCCUCUGUAAUUCCAUGGUGCUCUCAAAACAGCAAACAUGCCAGAGGAGAAUGUAUUUCCUUUCAUUAAAUAUAACCCUGAUUA
This is a non-coding RNA of Podarcis muralis (Common wall lizard), 6205 nucleotides long. Lineage: Eukaryota; Metazoa; Chordata; Lepidosauria; Squamata; Lacertidae. The record is from RefSeq and is a predicted model, not a curated record.